GGAUCUUCGGACCUCACGCUAUCAGAUGAGCCUAGGUCGGAUUAGCUAGUUGGUGGGGUAAAGGCCUACCAAGGCGACGAUCCGUAACUGGUCUGAGAGGAUGAUCAGUCACACUGGAACUGAGACACGGUCCAGACUCCUACGGGAGGCAGCAGUGGGGAAUAUUGGACAAUGGGCGAAAGCCUGAUCCAGCCAUGCCGCGUGUGUGAAGAAGGUCUUCGGAUUGUAAAGCACUUUAAGUUGGGAGGAAGGGCAGUAAGUUAAUACCUUGCUGUUUUGACGUUACCAACAGAAUAAGCACCGGCUAACUUCGUGCCAGCAGCCGCGGUAAUACGAAGGGUGCAAGCGUUAAUCGGAAUUACUGGGCGUAAAGCGCGCGUAGGUGGUUCAGCAAGUUGGAUGUGAAAUCCCCGGGCUCAACCUGGGAACUGCAUCCAAAACUACUGAGCUAGAGUACGGUAGAGGGUGGUGGAAUUUCCUGUGUAGCGGUGAAAUGCGUAGAUAUAGGAAAGGAACACCAGUGGCGAAAGCGACCACCUGGGACUGAUACUGACACUGAGGGUGCGGAAAAGCGUGGGGGAGCAAACAGGGAUUUAGAUACCCUGGUAGUCCACGCCGUAAACGAUGUCGACUAGCCGUUGGGAUCCCUU
RNAcentral lists this ribosomal RNA (650 nucleotides) under Pseudomonas aeruginosa. Its description in RNAcentral is "bacterial SSU rRNA". It matches the Rfam family "Bacterial small subunit ribosomal RNA", at positions 208 to 834 of the family's 1533-position model. Lineage: Bacteria; Pseudomonadati; Pseudomonadota; Gammaproteobacteria; Pseudomonadales; Pseudomonadaceae. The record is from RNAcentral.